GACGAACGCUGGCGGCGUGCUUAACACAUGCAAGUCGAGCGAGGCCCACCUUUCGGGGUGGUGUCCUAGCGGCGAACGGGUGAGUAACACGUGGGCAACCUGCCCUCAGCUCUGGGAUAACUCCAAGAAAUUGGGGCUAAUACCGGAUAUGACCGCUGACCGCAUGGUCUGGUGGUGGAAAGAUUUAUCGGCUGGGGAUGGGCCCGCGGCCUAUCAGCUUGUUGGUGGGGUAGUGGCCUACCAAGGCGACGACGGGUAGCCGGCCUGAGAGGGUGACCGGCCACACUGGGACUGAGACACGGCCCAGACUCCUACGGGAGGCAGCAGUGGGGAAUAUUGCGCAAUGGGCGAAAGCCUGACGCAGCGACGCCGCGUGGGGAUGACGGCCUGGUUGUAAC
Molecule: ribosomal RNA, 398 nt
Filed under: uncultured bacterium
Lineage: Bacteria
Description: bacterial SSU rRNA
Rfam family: Bacterial small subunit ribosomal RNA
Source: RNAcentral